This 76-nucleotide transfer RNA is filed under the name Candidatus Dormiibacterota bacterium. Its description in RNAcentral is "tRNA-Arg". It matches the Rfam family "tRNA". From Rfam's summary of the family: Transfer RNA (tRNA) molecules are approximately 80 nucleotides in length. Lineage: Bacteria; Bacillati; Candidatus Dormiibacterota. The record is from RNAcentral.
GCCCCAGUAGCUCAGCGGACAGAGCGGCUGCCUUCUAAGCAGCGGGUCCCGGGUUCGAAUCCUGGCUGGGGCGCCA